Molecule: long non-coding RNA, 35650 nt
Filed under: Theobroma cacao (cacao)
Lineage: Eukaryota; Viridiplantae; Streptophyta; Magnoliopsida; Malvales; Malvaceae
Description: long non-coding RNA (TCAC_LNC005549)
Source: RNAcentral
UGGUUGGCCAAACCAAAAGAGAAGAGAAACCAAGGAAGAACAAACCCUAGGUGGGGAAAAUCAAAGAGAAAGUGUUGGAAUUCAAGGAUUUGAUCAAGCAAAGGUAAAAUUUCUUUGAUUUUGCUAGUGAUUUACCUUACCCAUGCAUUUCUCCUUAAUUUCCAUGGUUGGAUUGUAUGUUUUCAUGGGGAAAUCAUGGCUGGCCGAAUGGGUGUGGUGAGAGAAAUGAUGUUGAAAUUGUUUGAUUUUGAGUUAUGUUGGUGUUUAGAGUUAGUUAAGCAUGUUUAGAAACAAAACAAUAAGAAAAGAAUCUAUUUUUCCCAUGAACCUUCAAUGGCUGAACCCUAUGUGAAGUGUAGAAGUAAUGAAUUGAUUUUGUGAUCAAGUGAAUUGGUUGAAAAUUUGAUGAAAUGAUGAUUUAUGGUGAGAAAAUGGAAUGGGAAAAUUUUUAGUGAUAGUUCACCACAAUGGCCGAAAUUUUCAAGAAGAAUUGUGAGGGUUGUUAGGCUGAAUUUUAGAUUAUUGUAAUUGUAUUUAGUGAAUUGAAAUAUUAGAAAUGAAAUGGAGCAAUUUGGAGCCAAAUCGGACACAAUUGUCAUUUAAUUGGGUAAUAGGCCGAAUUAGGUCAGUACCGCAUUUAAGCGGUAGUCGGAUAAGUUGCAUAUCAUAUCAUGCAUAUACACCCAGCCUGAAUUGAUUUUAUAAUGGUCAAGCAUUAAUGUGGUGAAUUAUGUAUUGUACAUUGUGGAUAGAUGGUGAGCAAAUUACACUAGUAAAAGUACAGAGAUUGUGCUUGAAGAUUGGGAUUAGGAGUACAUUGACUCCUAGAACUGUGAGUAAACUUAUUAUCGUCUUAAUUAUCUAGAGUAGUUUUAUACAAUUGUGUGAUUUUAUAAAAAAUGGGUUUAAAUGGUAAAUUGCUAUGUUUUAGGAGAAAUUGUGAUUUUAUAAAUUUUCUGAAAAAUUGAAUAUUGGUUUUGAAAAUAGAGUAAUUGGAGACUGCCUGCUUGUGUUAUAAAUUGUGUUUUAAAUUAUAUGGCUUAUAGCAAUAUGUGAGCAUGAAUGGCAAAGUCGGUAUUUGUAUCAAAAUUAUAUAUACUAUGUAUUCAGCCUUGAGAGGCUAGAUUGCGAUAAAUUGCCAUGUCAUGUAGAUAAAGAUUUUAUAAAUUAGGUGGUAGAUAAAAUAAUCCAUAAUCCCUGCAGUGGAGGUUUUGUGGACCAGCCUAAGAGAGGGGGCACAGAAUCAGAUAUACCUUACCUAGAUCAGAGAGUCGUGUGAAGGGUUUCUCUAGACAUAAAGUUUGAGUGCACUUCACGUGGACCACCGAGUAAGAGUGAGACUCAACCAACGCCAAGGCAUGGCUAGAAUUUCGGAUGUAAAGACAUUUAAUAGCCUUGGUGGUCUCGGUUAGAUGCCUAGGCCAAGGCAUUCCUGGGAAUGAUUUUUGGCAGGAGCCAAGUUUUGUGAGAUAUAUAAGCCACGUUGAUCAAUUGAGUAAACUGAAUAUUCAUGUUAUGAAACAUAUAUUGGAAAAGAAUAUUUUAAUUCGUCUCCAUUUACUCGCCUUUAGAUAGUUUAGAUGGUGUUUGUUUACUCACUGGGAUUUUAUAAUUUCACCACCCCCAUUUCCUCACAUUUCAAACUUGGGGAAUUCCACAGUUAGCUGACUUUGACAAAGACCUUCAUUUGGACUUGAAUCGGCAAAAGCUGUAGGUUUUCAGCUUCUGAUGCAUUUUGGUUAGAUGUGGGCCCACAUGUCGCUGUAAAAGUAAUUUUAUGCUUUGGUUAUUUGCUUUAUAGUAUGUAUGAAUAUAAUUAACUUUUACGCUAUAAGAAUUAUUUACUGAUAGCUUUAUAAAAAUUAUUUUACAAGAAAAUAGUUUAUUUUAUUGAAUAUUUUUAUUAUACUCAAAUGAUCAAUUUUCACUUCAAAUGAAUGUUUUAGAUACUUAAUUUGUUUUUAAAUCACUAAAUAUAUAUUUUCUGCUUACCUACUACAUUUUUAGCAAGUUUUGAGAUUUUCGACGAAAAAUGACGAAAAUGCCCUUGUGAGCCAAAAAACAAUCUGUUAUGUUCUGAUUUGAAAAUGACUUGUAAUCCUUCGAAUUAUGAUAUUUGAUAACUAUUGCUCACUGGGGAAGUACGAAAGCUGAUACGAGAGUCUUGCGAGGUUUAGAUCGGCAUUUGGGGUGAAGAAUGUUUGUAGAGGCUUCGCGGCGGUUGUCAUGGGCCCAAUGGGGAGUUCUGGGUUGUGACACCUUUUUUAUCUCUGAUUUCGAGAUCUAAUUCUUGAAGCAAUAGAAUCCAUCAUAUCAAUCUUGGCUUGGCAUCUUUCUUACCAAUCAAGUACUUAAUUGUAGCAUGGUUAAUGUAGACAAUAGCUUUAGUGCCAACUAAGUAUGCACGAAACUUAUCAAAUGCAUAAAUAAAAGCUAAUAAUUCUUUUUCAGUGGUAGUAUAAUGCAUCUAAGUUUCAGUCAAUGUCUUACUAGCAUAAUAUAUAUAAUGAAAUUUUUUUCCUUUUCUCUGACCUAACACUGCACCUAUAGCAUAGUCACGAGCAUCACACAUAAGCUCAAAUGGAAGCGUCCAAUUAGGAACUAUAAUGAUGGGUACAGAUACUAAUUUCUUUUUCAAUUCUACAAAUGUUGUAUGACAUACAUCAUCAAACUUAAAGGAAUCAUCCAUUUCCAACAAGUUACACAAAGGUUUGGAAAUUUUGGCAAUGUCUUUGAUAAACCUCCUGUCAAAACCUACAUGACUAAGAAAACUUCUAAUACCUUUUAUCGAAGAAGGUGACUGAAGUUUCUCAAUUGUCUCUAUCUUGGCUUUGGCUACGUUUAAUCCUUUGCUUGAAACCUUAUGACCAAGGACAAUGCCUUCUUGCACCAUGAAGUAGCCUCUAUCCUAAUUCAACAUAAGGGUCAUUUCUUCACACCUUCUCAAUACCUUGUCAAGAUUCAACAAACACUCAUCAAAAUUGUUACAAAACACAAAGAAAUAAUCCAUAAAUACCUCCAAGAUCUAUUCCACCAUAUCAAAGAAGAUGGCCAUCAUGCAUCUUUGAGAAGUUGCUAAAGCAUUGCAUAGUCCAAAUGGCAUACUUUUGAAGGCGAAAGUACCAUAACGGCAUGUAAAGGUGGUCUUUUCUUAAUCCUCCAAAACUAUAACAAUCUGAUUGUAUCUUGAACACCAAAAAAAAAAUAAUAAUAAAACUCCUUGCCAACCAACCUAUCUAACAUGUGACCAAUAAAUGGCAAAGGAAAAUGAUUUUUUCUCGUGGCCUUAUUAAGCUUCCGAUAGUCCAUAUACACUUUCCAUCUAGUCAUUGUCCUUUGAGGAAUGAGUUCAUUGUUCUCAUUUUCUACCACAGUCAUCCCACCUUUUUUCGAAACACAUUGAACCAGAUUUACCCAUGCACUAUCUGAUAUAAGAUAAAUGAUGCCAACAUCCAACCAUUUGAAGAUCUCUUUCUUCACCACCUCUUUAAUAAUCGGAUUGAGUCUUUUAUUGUGCUCAAUGGUGGCUAUGUGAUCUCCAACAGAAUCUUAUGCAUACAUAUCAAAAGACUAAUUCCCUUUAUGUUUGCAGUUGUCCAUCCCAAUGCUUUCUUGUGCUCUUUUAAACCUUUCAAAAACUUAACUUCCUGCAUGUUAGUAAGAAUAGAAGAAAUAAUCACAAUAAGAGUAAAAGAGUUAACAUGAUAUGCAUACCUUAAGUGAUUUGGCAAAAGUUUAAGUUCCAACUUAGGUGGCUCUUCAAUAGAUGGCUUUUGUUGAUGAAGAUGAAAAAGAUAAGAAAUCUAGUGUCUCAAAUUGUGUUCUCAAGGCACGGGAUAGGUCAUCCAAUAAAUUUACACAUUCAAUGACAUCAUCAUCAAGUUUCUCAGAAUCAGUUACUAAGGAAGCUUUAAGAGGGUCAUUAGGGUGGUUUUCCCUAAGCACUCUACUUGUGACUUUAUCAACUACACUUACUACAAAACACUCAUCAUGAUCAUUAUGAAACUUCAAAGCUUUAAAAAUAUUGAAAGUUACCUCUUGAUCUUGCACUCUCAAGGUAAGCUCUCUUUUCUCCACAUCAAUAAGUGCUCUAGCAGUGCGUAAGAAAGGUCUCUUGAGGAUAAUUGGGACUUCUCUAUCCUCCUCCAUAUUGAGAACAAUGAAAUCAGUCAGAAAGAUAAACUUGUCAACUUUCACUAGCACAUCUUCAACAAUACCUCUCGGAUAUGUGAGAGUUCAAUUAGUAAGUUGUAAAGUUACAGUGGUAGGCUUAAUAUGCCCUAAACCCAAUUUAUUGUAGAUAAACAAAGGCAUCAAAUUAAUACUAGCUCCCAUAUCACUCAAAGCAUUGGCAAAAAAUAAUGCAACAAUAGUGCAUGGAAUAGUAAAGCUACCAAGAUUCUUAAGCUUAAAAGAAAGCUUGUUUUGAAUAAUUGCACUGCACACCUUAGUGAGUGCCACUGUCUCAAACUCACCCAGCCUUUUUUUCUUAGACAAGAUAUCUUUUAGAAAUUUUGCAUACAAAGGCAUUUGCUCUAAAGCCUCUACACAAGGAAUAUUGAUGUGAAGCUUUGCAAACAUCUCUAUAAAUUUCUAAAACUGGCUUUUGUUUCUUGAAGUGUUAAGGAAAAGGUGAUGGUGGUAGAGUUGCCUUUACUUCCUUUUCUUGACGUUGCUCACUAUAACUUGCAAUCUGUGUCUCACUCUCAAUUGUUUUACCUUUUUGUUCAACUUGCUUUGAGUUGCUUUCAACUUCCUUACCACUUCUUAAGGUGAUGGUUUUGACAUGUUCCUUACUUUCUUUCUUUGAAUUUGCCUCUGUAUCACUAAGUAAGGUCCCAUAGGCUCUAUUCUUUAUCGUGUUGGCGAGUUAACCUACUUGGGUUUCAAAGUUCCUUAACGAGGCGACCUAACUAUAUAUAAAGGAGUCGAUCAUGGCCAUGUACUGCAUCAUCAAUUCCUCCAUAGAUGGUUUCUUUUAUGGAAUUGGAGCUUUUUCUUGUUGUUGGAAUCCAAGACGAUUAUUCAGUCUUAGAGCUAUAGAUGAUCCUUGAUUAUUACCCCAAGAGAAGUUUGGAUGGUUCCUCCACCCAAGGUUAUAAGUGUUGGAGUAAAGGUCGUUCUGUUGUCUAUUCCUCACAAACUAAACUAUCUCUGUGCUACUUGGACACUUAUUACUAGCAUGCCCAUCUCCACAAUACUUACAAACUACAAAAGGAAUAUGAAUUGAGUUAGCACCAAAUGAAUCAAGUUGUUUUGUUAGAGCUACUUCUUAUGCUAUUAAUGUUGAAAUGGUGUCCAACUCAUGAAUUCUAGCUACUCUCCUAUGCAUUGAUUGUUCUAAUGGCCACUGGUAAUUGUUCGAUGGCAUCUCCUCCAACAAGUCGUAUGCCUCAUCAAUUGACUUUGCCAUGAAAGCUCUUCUCGCAGCAGCAUCAAUAGUGGUUCACACCUGACCACUCAAUCCAUUAUAGAACAUUUGCACUUGAACCACUUUGGAAUACCAUGAUGAAGGCAACGCCUAUAUAGAUUUUUGUAUCUCUCACCAGGUGUCAUACAACGAUUUCGCAUUUAACUGCAUGAAUGAUGUGAUAUCAUUCCUUAUCUUUGCUAUCUUGUCUAGAGGAAAGAAUUUGGUAAGGAACUUCUGAUCAAGGUCAUCCCUUGUUGUAAUGGAUCCAGUAUGAAGUGAAUUUAGCCACACUUUUGCUUUAUCCCUCAAUGAAAAAGGGAAAAGUCUUAAAUGAAUCACAUCAUCUAUGACUUUAUUGUGUUUAAAGGUGUCACAUAUCUCUAGAAAGUUCAAGAUGUGGGCAUUUAGAUCAUCAUUUGGAAGACCUCCAAAUUGGACCGAAGUCUAGAUCUUGGUGAUGAUGGCCAACUUAAUUUCAAAAUUGUUGGUUUAAAUAAUUAGCUUAUGAAUGCUUGAAGGAAACAUUUGUACCAAUGUAACAACAUAAUCCCUUAAGCAACAAUUCUCUUCCACUACUCUUUCUUGGAUUUGUUGCUCACCUUGUCAAUCAGCUAUUAUAUCAGCUUGAGCAAAACCUUGUUGAUUUUCUCAUCUCAUUCUUCUAAAUAUUUUCUCAAUCUCUAGAUCACAAGAUACAAUCUCCAAACUUUUUGCUCUUCUCAUACAAUGAUGGAACAAACCUAUAAAAGAAAGAAAUAAAAACUCGAAUUAAGACAAAUUUGUGAAUAUUAAUAUUAGCAAAAUAAAUACAAAACACAAAUUCCCAACAUUGGUGCCAAAAACUUGUUGUUGAUUUAGUACACACAAGUAUACAUAUCGAACAAAUAAUAUAAACAGUAAGUCCAUAAUCAUAUCCCAUAGGGAUUUACUCCUAAUUUUUCACUAAGUACUAAAAUUACGACAAAGUAACUAGAAAAUCAAUUAAAACUAAAUUCAAUCAAACAAAAAACUAAUUAACAGAAACUAAAAAUUCAUUAAAGGAAGACAAUGGACUAAAACUCAGGAUUAUAGGUUUAUUUAACAUUUCAUCUAACAUCUGUUUCUCUCAUUAUUUACAAUCAUGGGCGGUUUUGCUAACAUAGAAUCCAAAACUAUGCACAAGUUUUUUGUCAAGAUGCUUGCACAAAUAUCUAACUUAAUUGGUUUACUAAAUGUCUAUAGCAAUCAAUUACAUAAGGUUCAUAAGCUAGUGCUCUGAUUUGGCUAUGUAUGGCAUUUAGGCAUAUGUUUAUCCUAAUUGCGAAUUAGAUCACCUAAUCUCUAAGUGACAUGAAUAUACACUAUUCAAACUUUAGUACAAUCUAAAUUUACUCUGUUGAGUCUCAUUCAGAUUAACAAAUCAUUUAAUUGCUGGCCAGACAAUUAAAAGCAUUACGAACAAAUUUGAAUAAAUAUAAUCAUACCCAUUCAUAAUAAAUAAAAGAGAAACAAAUACACAGAUUAUGUGUUGAAAUACACCACAAUCCUAGAAAAAUAAUUUAGCUCAUAAUAUCUAAUAAAAACAUUAUCCAAAGAAAAUUAGCUAUUAAUCCAAGUCAAAGAAAUUAAAAGAAGAACAAAAGUAAGAGAGAAACUAAUAAUUGAAAAUUUUUUAUCUCAAUUCUCUCUCAAAUUCUCUUUCAUUCGUGUUUUGUUUUUUACUCUUCUUCUCCAAACCGUCUUCUUUUGAAAGCCUUUGAAAAAGUUCCCUUAAAUAGUCCAUAAAGCCUUAGUUUACAAAAAUCCCGAAACAAUUUUAUUUUUGUAAGUACAUCUGGCAUCGCGGCCUUAUCUUCCUUGGUGCCACGGUGCCGUAGUCUCGAGAUGAAGUACGACGCCCAAUUGCCUUAUGGGGCCAUGACGCUACUUUCUUUAACAUCGCGACCCUCUACUCGCAAGUGAAGUAUUGGAGCACCACUUCCACCAAUGUUGCAACCCCACUUCUCUAGCACCACGACGAUGUACUCUCUAGUUUUUGUAUGGGGUGCUGGUGCAUCUUGGUGUCGCAGCUUUGAGUAACUCAAGGCCGCGACCUUCACUUCCUUAUGUUGCCUUAUGCAUAACUACAACAAUCUAACCUCUUCCAAUUUGUUUUUUACCUCAAUUUGAUCUGAACUGAGUAAAAUGGUAAACGUAAAAGUUAUAUCCCAAUCUCUUAGCUUUCCAAUGACUUAAGAAUCAUGUCAACUGGACUUCUAUAGAUCAAGUUAUCUUCAAAAUAUUACAAAUACGAAUAAAGCCAUCAUCUUAUUUGCACGGAUUUUCAUCAAACUAAGACUUUUUCAUCGAACUUCCUACAAGAGCAAUAAAAUAAAUCAAUAAUAACUAGACUUAAAGUAAUUUAAAGUAAAAUAACAUAAAAUUAAACUAACAUACUUAAAUUAACUAAUCAACAUGUUUAAACUAAAUUAGGUAAAUAACUAAAAUACUUAAAUGUCAAAUAUAAAAUAUGAAAAACUUAACUAUUCAAACCUUAAAAUAUUACAAAAUAAUUCUAAAUAAUAGAGUUAUCAUCAACCACUGUAGCAGAUGCUCCCAACUUCCUUCUCUUUCUUCCUUAGACCAAAAUCCAAAAGGGAGGAAGAAACCAAAAUCCAAGAGGGACAUAUUGAAAUUUUUUGGGUUUUUCUGAUAAUAAUUUUGCUGGUUUUUUUUUAAGGUAAAUUACACUUUGCCUUUUUAAGUUUUGAUUAUAAUUCAAUUUUGGCCUAUUAGAAUUAACUAGACAUAAAAAUCUUGCGGUUAAAGCUUUAGUGUUUUUAUGAUGUGGCAUAAAUUUUAUGUCUAUUUAACCCUUGCCUCUUUUCCUAUUUUCUCCCUUUUUUUUUCUUUUUCUCUCUCUUAUUCUCGUUUUAGUUUCUAUUUAAGACCUCUUUCAACAGCCGGCCACCUUUUCCAGAAUCGGACAUGUGGCCACUGCCAGCGUCGCCGCCUCCCGUCACUGGAUGGCCAUCGGCCACCACUCACCGAAUCCAAAAAAAAUCCAAAAGAUCCCCUCGAACCUCUUUUUCAAUCUAUUAAUUGGUAAUUGGGUGGUAUAAGACAAAAAGGUAGGAUGAGAAUGCGGAAUAUCAGUCUCAACCCAAGUAAAAGAAAACUUUAAAGGUUGGGAAAGGAUUAUUACAUGAAUACAAUCUCCAGAAUCUUCAAAUGUGCAGUCAAGUUUAUCAACCCCCAAUAGAGGGCCCCUUUUGUCUCACCUGAUUUAAAGCCUUGGAAAAAGUCCUUUAUCUGCACUAAUUUUUAGAAAAGGAAAGAUGCGAAGGCCAAGGUCAAGCAGACGUACAGUGACCUCAUAGCAUCUCUUUAGGUAACAAAGUAAAUUGAUGUACUUUUUUCAUGACAGUGUGAACAUGCUUGGUUCCCCAUUACCUGGUGGUGAUUGCAAUUGAUGAAUUUCUUUUCAUCGAGGUAGAGAUAGAGUAAGUGUUUUGCCAUUAUUGUUUGUCAGUUUAUGUUUGCAGUCGGCUGUUUUACUGACCAAAUCUAGACAAAAAUGCUGUUUUUUCUCUGAAAAACAAGUAAUCAUAUUAUGAAUGCUCAAGCAAUAUGUCCCAGAAAAACUAACAAAGGAACAAAAAUGAUGCUUAUAAAGCUGCAUCUAAACCACGAUUCAGAACUUUUUAGACUUCUACACUAGUAACACACACACACAAAAUGAACACUUGGCUCCAGUACACGUUGAUGGCAUAUUUCCUUAAUGGUACGUGUCUUCUUGGGACAGAGAUCCAAAGGAAAGAACUUCUUCUUAUAAGCUUCUCGAAGCGUGAUUUUUGCUUCUUGAAAAUCACCGAUUUUUGUUCUGUGGCUUGUGCUGCUGAUUUACUGAAAGGGAAAAAUACUUGGAAGAUGAACAUGUUCCCGUUGUGCUGUGGGUGGGUUUUAUUGGUGCUGAGUAUAAAUUUUUCUUGAAUUCAAAUUUUGUUAGGUAGUGUUGCCUUGGCUAAGAGAUGGCCGAGAGCAAGAAUCAAUUCUCUUUCGGUAGAGAGAAGAUUGAGAUGGGAUAGAAGCCUUGGCUACGAGAUGGCCGAGGGCAAGAAUCAUUUCUCCUUAGAGAGAAGCCUGAGAUGGGAUAGAAGCAAACGGUUGUCAAGUAUAGAAUAGACAUAAAGGACAUUUAUACGAAUAGAAUUAAAAUGAAUCUAAUGUGAAUUGGAAUUUUACUUUAGGUUUUAGGGAGUUUUAAGGGCGUAGGGGUUUGCGAUGAAGGGUAUAGGAUAUUAUCAUAACCAAAUAAAAAAGGUUUUUAUAGAAAUUGAAAUAACGAUUGACAUGUAAAACAUAACUAAUACCAGUGCUCAGAGGGAAAAGAAAAAGUCCAAUAAAAAGCACAGCAUGAUUGGUAUUAGUGCUCAAAGAGAAGAUAAUAAGGAUGAAAGCUCAACAUCAGCUACAUUAGUGAGUUGUUGAGGUUCAUUAACAGAGCACAUUCAUUCCAUAAAUCUCAACAACGCAUAUAAGCAUGAGACUAGCAGGCAACAUGUUUUCUACCAUCUUUUUAUUAAUGCCCUACUGCCACGUGCAUAGUUUUCAUUAGACCUCAUCUGACUGGGUGACAGCUGGUAUUAGAACUUGUUCCGAUACCAGAAAACACCCUUGCUGCCAGCAUCCUCAUCAGGUUCAACAUAAAGACACUCUUUGGCCUCCCUCCACAUAGCCUUGUAAACUGGAGUGCCAUCAAAACGAUAAUACUUGCCCAGUAUGGGUUUGAUUGCUUUAGUGGCCUCCAUUGCAUGAUAAUGUGGCAUUGUUGAGAAGAGAUGGUGAGCCACAUGUGUAUCUGUGAUGUUAUGAAACACUUUAUUCAACACCCCAUAAUCUCUAUCCACAGUUGCCAGAGCUCCCCUUAGCCAAUCCCAUUCAGAUGAGUCAUAAUGUGGCAAUGCUGGGUGCGUAUGUUGCAAGUAUGUGAUCAAAACAAGAAACCCGUUCACUAUGAGCAGCGGUACCCCAUAGAUGCAUACAAGCCAAGCCAACCCUUUUGUUGCAGCAAUGUUAUAGAGCACAUAAGUUGCUGCCAAUAUACCAGCAUCGGAGAUGUAAAUUUGAAGCCUAUCUCGAUUGGAGUAGAUGGGCCCAUGGGGAUCAAAGUGGCAAGCAAAACGAUCGUAGUUUCGGCCUGAAACAUUGAAGGCUAAGUACAGGGGCCACCCAAGGGUCAGUGUGAUUGCAAGGGACACAACUCGGCCUAGUGGAUUGUUUAGGUAUCUUGUAUACCAUGAUACUCUAGACUUGGGUUUAGGCACAAACACUUCAUCUCGCUCCAUGGAACCUGUGUUAGAGUGGUGGCGGCGAUGACUAUAUUUCCAUGAGAAGUAUGGAACUAAAAGGGCAGAGUGGAGAAUCAGCCCGACUGUGUCGUCAACCCAUUGGUAGUCACUGAAAGCGUGGUGACCACACUCGUGAGCAAUUACCCAAACACCUGUUAGGAUGCAGCCUUGGAGAACCCAGAAUAUAGGCCAAGCAAUGUAGGAAAGGGAGUAAGGGAGGAGAUGAAAGUAAGAUGUGGCAAUGUGGUAGAAGAGAAAGACCAAGCACAGGUCGCAAACAACAAAGGAGAAUGAACGAAGGAUGGAGCGCUGAAAACAAUGGGGAGGAACAGCAUUUUUUAUCUGACUUAGAGUGAAUGGAGGCUUCUCAUAGGGCACUCGAUGGAGGGGACUUUCCUUUUCUUCAUUCUUGUUGCUGGGGUCAGGCAUCCUUCCACCGGCAUCCACUGUUACGAGUUCCUUCUGUGCGAACCCUGGAAACGUGAAGCCGGAUCAGUUCCAAUUCUUAUAACUGAAAAAAUACACUUCAAACAGAAAUAAUAAGAAGUAAUUAUUUAUUCAAAGGUUUUAUAAGCAGAUAAAAUCCAAACAAUGUGCAUAUUAACAGUUAAGUUCAUAAUUAAAGAGGAAAAAAAAUGUACUGAAGCAGCAAAAAUACUAACAAAGAAAGUGAUUGUCAAAUGUUGAAAGAGAACAUAAGAACUAAACUAGGGAGCUUUCUAACAGAAAAAAUGCUAACCAAACUCUAACAAAUGUCGGAAAAAACAAGCAGUGUGAAAUGUUGACAAAGAACAAGAAUUAAAUAAGGGAGCUCUGCAAUAGAAAUAAAAACCAGGAAGACAUUGUCAAGCAGCAUCAGAAAGUCCAACCUACGAGGGGUCCACCACAAUCACUACAGCACUUUGUGGGGCUAAAACAAAUGUGACAGGUGAAUGCAAAAAACACUACGGUCUUCGAGCAGAUACUUCGGGGUCCAGCAAUUUAACUCUAUCCCAACAGAGGCCUGCACUUCAUGAUCCUUACCAUUGAUGCUUAAACUUGCUGACCACCCAUCAAACCUUUAUGGAAUCCAUAAAAUGGCGGAAAACGACAAAUGCCUUUGAAAGUGAAAUUAAUGUAUGUGGAGAGAAAUAGGUUCUCAAGUGCCGACCAAAAAUAAAUAUGAAACUUUUAUGUUUAACUUUCCUGCUUCAAUCAAACAAAAGUGUGAGACUCGAAAAUGUACAAAAUCCAUAUUUAGAAUUGAAAUUCUGAAAAUAAGUUGAAAGGCUCAUAUGAAAAUAUGAGAAAAAUCUCAAAUUCAUGCCCAUUACUGUAGCUUAAUGAGCUAAAAAGAACCAUUUAAUUGGAAAAAAUAAAAUUUGCCCUGAGAUGCAUACAAUUGGCUUGUUAGAUACAACAGUAAAUUUGAAGAAAUUAAGUUUCGUGUUGGAAAGCACCUUUCUGUUGCCAAUACCAUGUCUGGUUGUCUUUGGCAUGUUUUCACCUUUCUCAUUAAAAAAAGCAUUCCCAAAAAAUAGAAUGAGAAAGAAUUGCAUGAAAAAGCCAAAAAUACCACUACCCUUUCCAUAAGGCCAAAAAUCUUUCAUCUAAAGAUGGUUGACUGUAACCAGGUACCUGAAAUGCUGGCAGGUAACUUUAAUGCAUGCACGCAUCCCAUCAAAUUUAAUAUAAACAAAGCAGGAAUUGUGGCCUAGAAAAUGUAAAAAGAAUGAGAAAAAUAAAACAAGUUAUUGGAUUUUAUUUUCAGAGGGGAAAAAACGAUGGAGCUCCAUAUAUAGUAUCUGGGAUCAGAACAAAAAAAGGGUCAUAAAAUAUUUGGCAGAAUUGUUAGCAAAGACAACGCCUUGAAGCAUAGAAUAUUAGAUGCAAACGAUAAAUUUUGAUCUUAAAAAAGAGUCAUAAUGCAUUGCAUGGUAUCUUCUUCUUGUUUUUCCAUCUCCUAGCACUUUUCACUGUCAUAAAAUAUGGGUAGAGAAUCAGCAUAUUCAGCUUCUUCUUCUUCUUCUUCUCGUUGGUUUAAUUUCUCGCUUGUCCAUUUUCUUGGUGAAAAGAUGGAAAGUUUGGUAGUCAAACGCAAAACAAUAUGUCCAAAAAUCAGUUACUAAGUCUCAGAUAGCAAAACCCCCUCCAGUAAUUAGUAAACAUAAAACAAAAUGUGUAUACUUCAACGGUCAUGUAACAAACCACCAUGACACUCAAGUACAAAUAUAUCAUUAGAAAUAUUAUUCACCAAACGCAUUAUUAGAAAAAAUAAUGAAAACUGCUAAAUGAAAUCUAAAGACUACUCUUCAGUUAUCAAUCCAGAAUAACAAGAGAAACAACCCAUAAAAAAAAAAAAAAAAAAAGACAGAAACUGCAAACGAUGUUACAGCAUGAAACAUUUUUAAACAAGAAGAGAAGCAAAACCCAACAAUCAUUUAUAAAUUCAACAUAGAAUGGAAAAGCAUUAAAAGACAAAGUACCUUAGAAAGAGAAAAAGCGCUUAAUCCUUCUUAGCUUCGUUUCUUUCUUUCCCUUUCUAUGGAGAAAAUGAGUUGUUUUUCGAGUGGUUGUUGGAGGGCUGGGUUUGGGUUUUAAUUCAUCACCCUCGAUUGAAACAAAGCGAAGGAGUUUGCCUGCAUUUAAGCACUCUGUUUCGAAGUUGCAGCUUUCAUGGUGGUGGGUCCCACUAGAUUACGCUGGUCUCUAACCAUCUGCCUUCUCCCCGAGACGUGUGUACAGGCCGUGGCUUUAAUUAAUCUCCUGGCCUCAAUUCCUGAUUCGCUCUUCAUUAUCUUAUCAUCACCGUUACGGAGGCUCUAGAUCUUGCUUGACCAGGUCACCGACCGCACCUGAUCAAAUUCGAUGAAAUCUACAAAUCACCCUUGGCUUUUACUUUCGACCAAUUAUAAUUCCCGAACCUAUUUCCUUGACCUACCCUUCUCCGUCUCGAAAAUUACCCAAGUGAUAUAGAUUCUUACGUAGGGAUAACUUGAAAAUAAAUUAUACCAUUUUUUUUUUGAAUAGCAAUCAAUUAUACCAUAUAACAUACUUAUAAUGAACUUUAUAUUGUGCCAUGUAACAUACUUAUAAUGAACUUUAUACUCGGUAGGCAAAUUUUAAAUAUUGACAAACAUCAAAUUAUUUACAAACAAACAAACAAAUCACUAUAACUGCAGUACUUGAAUAGAUUUAUGUCAAUCAUUUAAACUCGUAUACAGAAUUUAAAAUCUUUCACAUUAGAUUAUGAUAAUGACUAUAGUAUCAUUUAUAAUUCUUAUUUUUGGUAAUUUUUAUAAGAUCAAUGACGGUAUUAUGACUUGAUAACGCACAUUUAUCACCAAUUAUUCAAUUAAUGAAAAGGAAGGAAAUGUUUGUUGAAUUGUUAUGCACUAAAUUCAGCAUAUAUCAUCAUUUCCGGAGUGUUAGCAAUUAGAGUUAAAAUAAUCAGGCAACAAACAAACAAAAUGAACAUUGGUCAGUCAGAAAUUCUCGGGACUUACCAAGGAAAGUUACAUCACACGUGACAUUCACGUGUCUCCAUUUCUGUUCGUUGUUAGAAUAUCUCCCCUACGUCGAGGGGAUCUUCCCUUUGGUUUUGUCACCACAAACUUUUCUGAUUUAAAAUCAGAAAUAUUUUAUUACUAGUCUUGUUUUUUUUGGUCAAACGGAAUCAGAUUUUUCUAUAUAAAUGUUUUAAUUUUUUACUGCUAGAAGAGCACCCGUGAUAUGCAGUGGAUUUAUAGAAUUUCAUAAGUAGUUAAUAUUAAAAAUUUAUUAUAAAAUUUUUGAAUGAAUAGAUAUUAAAAACUAUUUAUUGGUAUUAACAAUAUUAGUAUUACAAUUGUUGUAAACUGUUUAAAGAAAAAGAAAUAAAGUAAUGUAGUUGUUAUGAUGCAACUAUAAAAUUUGAUGCUAAAAAUUAUACAUAGUAAUGUAAAGUAUGAUUAUGCAAAUUGUGUUAAUUUUUAGUUUUAAAGUUGAGAACAAAAAAAUAUAUAGUUAUCAGUUAUGAAGUGCUGUGGAUUCACUAACUACAUAAGAAUAAUAAAUGUAUGUUUGUAUUCAGCAUUACUGGAAAGCAAAAAAGGAUGUAAUGAAGCAUAUUUGAUUCUUAAUAUUUGAGAUACAUAGAAGUAACAGUUGUUACAAAAAAUUUGUACAUUACAUCAAUCAUAAGAUGAUGAUGUGCAAAAAUUAAGACCAAGCAAUUUGGAUAAGCUCCCCUCUACUUCUUUCAUAAUUUUUCAAGUUCAAGUUGCACUUUCAAUAGUUUAACCCAUUAAACAAACCAAGAGUUCAUGAAAUUUAUCAACUUAUAAUAAAUCAUCUUUAUCGUGUCAUCUAAGCAACCUUGAGUUUUCUCUCUUACCCACACUUAAAAAACUCAAUUUUCACAUAAUUCCUUCUAAUUGACAAAUACAAUAAGCUCUAAACUUUCUCAAUCCUCUCCCACCUCACCUUUGUCAACAUCAUAAAGAGUACUCUUACUUGAUAACUUGAAUUGUUGACAUCUUUGCUUCUACAGGCAAGUCUACCUUCUGAAAUUAACUUGCAAAGUCACUUAUGGCAUUUGACAACAAAAGUGAUUCAAAAGAUUCAUUACUCAAAGAGAUAAUAUCCAUACAGCCAAAUACUUUGGAUUCUUUGCUAGCAACUUUGUCCAUGGCACCAACAAAUAUCAUUUGAAAUUUUUUCGUAUUAACAAAUAUAUUUGAAACACGUUCCCCCACCAUGUUGCUAACCUCUCCACAAUGUUGUCGUUUAAUUAGUUCAAAGAAACAAUAAUGAAAACUGAAAAUUGUAUUUGAAAAAGCUUUAUAAACAAUUAAUAAAGAAAUACAUGUUAAUCCAUAUCAAUCCUAUGUGGCAAACACACUUGUUUUAAAGUCUCAUAAUUUAAAGCAAAAGACACAAAUGAUUAAAUUAUAGACUUGAGAUUCCAAAAAUAACUUAAUCAUACAACAAAAUCAUAAAACAAAUUUCUCUCAAUAUUAACAAAUAACAAAAUAGCACAAAUUCAAUUGUUCUUCAUUUCACUUCACAUAAUAUUCAUAAUUCUCUUAUGUUUUAAGUGUGUAACUAUUGUUCCUUUUAAUUCAAUUUAAGAAUUUGAUGUGAAAUCAAAAGAAUUGGUCAACAAUUGAUUACAUUAACAGCAAGACAUAAAAUGAACUCGUUUUAGUAAAAUAACAAACGAUUAGAAUUCUCUAAAUGUUAGCUCAACAAUUGAGCUUCCCUUUACACUAUGAGUGGGCCUAAUGGUCAACCAUGGGAGUAUGGAAGAAAGUACAUAAUAGUAGAAACUGAUAUUGUUGCAAAAGAUUUACCUUUCAAUAUUGGGCACAAGGUAUAUUGGACAAUUAAAAAGCUUAAUUUUGAUCUUCAAGUAGUCGGAGAAAAACGCCUUUUGUAACUCAAUGAGAUGGAUGAAUUUCGUCACGAAGCAUAUGAGAGUGCAAGAAUUUACAAAGAAAAUAUGAAACGAUGACAUGAUCAGAAAAUCAUAAGGAGAAGUUUUGAGCUUGGCCAACAUGUUCUUCUAUACAAUUCUUGUUUGAGGUUAUUUCUAGGAAAGUUGAAAUCUUGUUGUCUGAAACUUUCAUUGUGAUGAAAGUAUAUCAUCAUAGAGCAAUAGAGGUGGCUGAUGAUAAAUCAACCUUCAAAGUGAAUGGGCAAUAAUUAAAGAACUAUUGGGGUGACGAUUUUGAUCGAUAAAGGUCCUCAAUCACACUUAUUGAUGCACUUUGAAUCAGAGACAGUCAAGUCAAAGACUAUAAAUCAAGCACUUCUUGGGAGGCAACCCAAGCACUCUAACUUGGGUAGACUUACACUUAUAAAUCAAGCGUUGAGUAGGUGGUUUGAUUUGCAUAUAGGGUAAAUAUACCCCUAUAAGUUAUAUGUAGCCAGGAUUAGAGUACGAACUUAAUGAAUCUUUCUUUAAUUUAAUUUUCAUAGACACACAGUAAGUUAAUUGGGAGAGAUAUUUUUAUGAAAAACUCGACAAAGACUUGUAAAUAAUUUAAGACUUUAGGUUAUCAACUGAAUCCAUUAAGCUAAAUUAAGAGAGAAAGACAAUAAUUAGAUGAAAUAUUGAGGGACAUCAUAAUCUUAGGUUUAAAAGUCAAUCAAAUAAAAAAAAGUAAUUUUGCUAAGUAAAUUUAGAUUAGUUUUAGUUUUUUAAGUUAGAUUUUAUUUUGCUUUUAAUUUUAGAGUUUGGAUAAAAUUAGGGUGUGUAAUUUUAGUGAUUAAUAGUGAGAAUUAACUCAAUUCCCUGUGGGAUUGACACUCUACUUAUCAUUAUAUUAUCUUUGCGAUAAGUAUACUUGCAUGGGUAGUAAAUUGAAUAACAGAUCACAACUUCAUUAAUUGAGUUUAUUAUUGUCCAGUAUCAUCUAUGGAUGGUCCAAACCUUCUUAGAGUGUAUUGUGUUCGCAAUAAUUGUAAUAGUUGUAAUAUAUAGCCUAAGGAAUGGUUUUGCAUGGGCUUUGGCUAGUAUAUAGUGUCAGCUACGUAAAGAACAUUUGCACAAACAAAUAUAAUUGGAGCCUCAAUCCCAUAUGUACAUUAUAAUGAGUUGUUUUUUUUUUGGUUAAGUUUUUAUUUAUAAGAAAUAAAUACUUUUAUAUUUGUAAAAUAAUAAAAAUUAUUUUUUACUAAUAGAUGUAGUAAGGUUUUGAGAGGCUAUGUGCUUGGAUAUGGGAUUGUGAUUUAGUUCUACGUCAUACUAUUUUACUACAAAAAAGGCCUUGGGAGUUUGGAAAAGUAUAUUGCUUUACUCAAUUUUAAUCUAACCAAUUAUUCACUAGGUAAUGAAGUUAAUCAAUUUUUGCUUUAUAAUGAAAUUUUAAGAUGGAAAACAUUUUCCUUUAUUUUGUUAGGAGUUAAGAUCAUUCUAAUUUUUUAUUUUUAAUUGUAGAUUCAAAACUUUCAACAACAGGUUCUAACUAACAUGCAUAAAUGGUGGCUGACCCUUUUUGAGCCCAAUAAUGGGACUUUUUGGCUAAGCCUUGCGAUGUGUUGUCACAUCCCAAUUCUAAGGACAUGACUGAUGUAAGGGUCUAAUGGAUAGGGACCACUCGACCCAAGUAAGCCCUAGUAAUAAUGGAUAGAAUCAAACAACAAAACAUAAUGCCACAAGACGUAUCUCUAUGCAUAUGUAUGUAUGUCUACAUAUAUCUCAUGCUUAACAUUCAUAACAUAAAUAAGUUUUAAAACAGAUAAAGUUAUACGCCAUCUCGGUAAAGUAUGUAAACUUAUUACAAAGAAUAAAACAAAGUAUGAUAGACCCAACAAGCAGACAAGCAUAACCAAAAUAGACAACGAAGUAUGAGCUAAAAAAAGGGUGAUGUUUACUAGAUGCCUCAUCGACCACUUACCAUAUAAUAGACGUAGCUUUUUCAAAAGGACAAUUAGCCAAGUAAUCUAUUGAUCUAAAACAAACAAAUGCAACUUGUGUGUGUGAGUAUAAAAACUCUAUGAGUAAAUAUAGGGAUGGGUAACAAGCUAAAUAAAAGAGUAUUUAUACAAAACACAUUGUAAAAAAUGUGAACAUAAUUUCAAACCUCAAAUCUUUCUCAUAUUUCACACCCAAGUGUUAUCAAACUUGAUUUAGAAAGUUUUAACUAUAAACUAAAUCUUUGAUAAGUUUAGUUUGGAAUAACAACUUCAAAAACAUCUCAAAAAUCCUUUUAAAGAAUGAAAAUUUCAAAAAUAAGUCAUAAGUAUCGAUAUCUCAUUUAAGGGUAUCUACACUUAUCAAAUAGAAUGACUUCCAAGGCAUUUUGGACACAAGAUAUCAAUACUUACACGGAAAGUAUUGGUACUUUUGACACAAAAUAGAGCUUACUAGCUUUCAAGAAAGUAUUGACACUAUUAACACCUAAUGCAUUUAUGAGUAUUUCCUUGGGCUGGUAUUGAUACUUCAUGCUAGAAGUAUCAAUACUUCUUUUAUAAAAUUCCAAAUUUCAGUCUCUAAUGGUUCCUUUGGACCUUAAGCAAAGUAUAACAAACUUUCCUUUAUCAAAAUCAUCAAAAUUUAGAAAUAAUUCAAAUCAUAAACAUAAUUAAUUAUAGAUUUAACAAAUCAACAUACAGAACUGAUAUAACAACUUCCAAUUGGAUUUCCAAGUCAUGAAAUUGACAUUCAAAGUUAUUAAACUUCAUAGAGCAACACAGAGCAUUUGUGGAGCACUAACUUAAGAAAGACAGACUAAAACAGAGGAUAAUGGUAUAGUCCCCACUAUUUGGAUAUUACAGAGGGUGUCAUAACACCAAUAUAGUCUAGUGCAUAUAGCCAUCAAUUUUAAAACUGAUUAAAGAAUAAUGGUACAGUCCCCACUAUUUGGACAUUAUAGAAGGUCUUAUUAUACUAAUAUAGUUUGAUGCAUAUAGUCACCGACAUCAGAAUAGAACAGAUCGUUGUUGUAGAACCUCGAUUAACGUAUAAGGGAAAACUAGGAAAUUCACUUGGUGAGCUCAUGAAAAACUCCUUACUGACCCAAAUACUUUUAGAAUCACCCUUAAACUUACUUAUAUGAGUGAGAAAAGGCAUUCGGAGGGUGAGGAAACUAGAAACUUAGCAAAAGAAGGCCAAUUUUAUAAUUUGUCCCAGAAAGAUCAACCCUCCACAAGUUUUUAGGCCAACCUUGGCUAAUUCGUCCAUUUCACUCUCUUUAAGCUCUUUCACUUUUCUAUCUUCUCUUCAACUUGAACUCUUUCACUCCUUUCACGCCUUAAUUCCCUCUCAAGUUAGGCUAACUGAAGCACUAGUAAUUGAAUCUAAGGUGAGUUAUGACUUUUCAAGCUUUGGAUUAAACUAGUUUUAUUUCUAACUUUAUAUCUCUAUAAUUUCAGCUUGGUUUCUUUAUUUGAUAUAAAGAUUUCAGUGCGAAUUCUCCCCAAUAGGCUCACCAAGGUGAGGACCCCCCUUAGUUUGUGAAUUUGAUGGUUGGAAGAUAGUGAUAUUGAGUUGAAUAAGGUUGAAGGAACUAGUAAGAAUUUUAGUCGGCUAGUUCUAAAUGAAAAAAGUUAAGAGGAAUUCAUGUGGAAUGUGGUUGUUUUAGGUUACAUUGACGCUCCAAGGAUCAAUUUGGAGCAACUUGUGUUGAGUUAAUUGUCUGUAUCAAAAGGAGGCAUUAGAGGUGAGUGAAUUGCAUUUAAACUGUUUUUCUAUGCAAAUGUGUAUAAACAAUGUUUUACACGCACACUAGAAUUCAUGUUUCAAUGUUGAGUUCCAAAUUAAGAUUUGUGAUGAAAUUGUUCAUUGAACAUGUUUUGGUAUUAUUAUAUAUAUGUAUAAAUAUACUUACUAUAUGGUAUUCAAAAAUGCAUAGGGAAUAAGCCUUUUAAGGAUUUCCUAGAGAAAGUGAUGACUUUCAUGGAAAUGUUAUGUGAGUCACACAGUGGCUAUACUUGAACUGUUAUUGGCUUGUAUAAAUGAAUGAAUGAGCUUGAUGCUUGACUUUGAUAUGUAAAACCUUGGAAUAAGGUUUGUUUUGGUGGGAAUUAGCCUUCAAGUGAGGAUGUAUAUUGAAAAUAUAUGGACAAAUGGUACAUAAUGGAGGUGAAUGAGUUCACCUAUUUGACUAUGAUAUAGUAUAUGAAUAGAGCAUAAUGCAUGAUGCUUAUCUAUGUGUACUAAGUGGGACACAUGAUUGAUACUUAUCUAGCAAGGCUUGGUGCUAAACAUGUGCAGUGAGUAAAAGAAAGAGAGAGAGCUGGAACAAUUACAUUUGUAUUUUCUGAAAAUCAAGUCAAGCUUAAAAUCCUUCAAAAAUGGUGUCUUCAAGAGAAAGAAAGCAGGAGAAGGUUUAAAAAUGCUAAAAAUGGUAAUGAAUGGCGGAAUAGGGCUUAAAAGGGUUUAAAGUAGCUUAUUUAGGCAAUUUUUAGGUACGAAAACUUUGUUUUAUCUUUUUUAUUUUUGUGAAAAUAGUGACAAAAAUCGAUACUUUUGUUCUAGGUUUCAAGUUUCAAUACUUAUUCAUCGAGUAUCAAUACUUGUUCUUCAAAAUCCUUUUUAAAAGCUUUCUAGGCAACAAGUAUUGAUACCUCCUUCAUGAGAAUCGAUACUUCUGCUCCAGAAUGUUAAAAUUAACUUGGAAACUUACCCAUUUUGACUCGUCUCUCUUUAACACUUACCAAAUCUCUUUAGUACUUAAAAAAUAAUGUUUUUUUCCAAGUUAAAAACACUAGAUUGUUAGGAAUUUGAGAAUAUGGUGCCCUGUAAAGCAAGUUAUAUUCUCAUGUGUAAUUUCAUUUAAUUUAUUGGUAAUGAAAGGAUAUUUUGAUAAUAAGAUGAAGAGUUUGUUUUAAGUAAGCAUUCAUUAUCUAGUUAUUAAGGUACCUUGAUUCUAUUAAGAUAUUAAAAUACAUUUAUAUAAAGAGUCAUACAUAAGAGACAUGUAUUUUAAUUGAAUCUAAAAAUUAUUCACAACCAUAUAAUAAAGCUGGUCACUUUAUUGUAUUAAGGUUGUAUUGUCUAGAUUACUUCCAAUGAAACGAAUGUAAUUCACUUUAAGGGAAUGAUGAGUCUCAAAUCAUUCGAAUGGUUAACUUCAAGUACUGACACUAUAACAUGAACUGGAAUUAUGUGAGAAUCAAAUUUAAGUUUAACCGUUACUUAAAUCUAGAUGUCACACUUAUACAUUUGCUUAUAGUAGAAUCGAAAUCCUAAUGGAUAGUGGACUCAUGUUUUAUCUCCUUAUAAUCUUGGAUAUACCAUAAGCAUGAUCAUCAUAAAGCAUUCAUUUAGACUCCGUAUGUUGAGAUUAUAAUUAAGGUGAACAUCCGAGAACAUAUAUCCAAAUAGUGGAGUUCAUAAUAUUAACAUCACUUCUAAUAAUUUUAGGAAGAUGGGUGAUUAAUUUGGGCUUGGUAGAUUGAUGAAUUAGCUAUCCAUCACAUCUUGAUACUCAAAAGAUUAGAUCUAGAGUAUUCAAUCACUAAUUGGAUGAAAUCUGAAGCUAAGGGACAAAAUUGACGUAAAGGGUAAAACGGUAAUUUUAUCUUUUGUCAUUAGAUGGUUAUGAUGGUUCACAAUAUAAGGUUUACAAUUGGACAACUAAUAACUAAUAUCAAGUAUUGACUCAUUUCUUGUAAUCAUAGUUAAUCCAAGAGUGCAACCAUGAAUCUAUGGUAGAGUGAUUUCAUGGUUAAUAAGCUUGAAUUAUCUUAAUGAUAUUAAAAAUAAUUCUAACUUUAUUGGAGUUUGGAAUGUCUAUUUCCAAAUAGAUUCCCCACUUAGCUUCGUAGAAUUCAAAUUAUUUAAUUUGGAAUGCAUGUUUUAUUUGAUUAAUUAAAUUAUGUACAAAAAUGACAACUUUUACAUGUUUGUCUUAAUUUAGACAAGAAAACAUGUUUUGUCUUAAAUUAGAUAAGAAAACAUGUUUUGUUUUAAUUUAGACAAGAAAACAUGUUUAGAAAACAUGUUUUGUCUUUAUUUAGACAAGAAAACAUGUUUUGUCUUAAUUAAAGAUAAGAGUUGUCUUAAAUUAAGAUAAUGGUAGGAGGAUUCUUGCAAAAUGAAUUUAGACAUCCAUGUUAAUAAAAAGAGACUCCAUGUUUAACUAGUACUCCUUUAUUUAUUAUUAAUUCUUUUUAAAUAAAAAUGGAUAAUAAUAAAAUAAAAGUUAUUAUUCAACAAGGAGUUUUAUUUUAUCAAGAACUCUAAAUAAUGAUUAAAUAAUUAAAUUAUUUAUUGUUUAAUUUUAAUUUUGAUAGUUAUGGAGCAUAUUUAAUGCAUCCAUAACUCUAAAUGGACGAUCAAGAUUGAUUCAAACGUAUGAUAACUCUAUUAUAUAGAGUUAUUUUGAUACAUUUUGGUGGCUUAAGUAGUUAGAUCUUUCAGAUUUUAGGUUCAGAUCGUAACAUUUUAGGUGUUUUUCUAGUUUAGGUUUGAUUAUAUGUUGAGUAGCUAAUUUAAGUCAUUUUAGUUAAAUUUUAUGUUAUUUUGUUUUAAAUUACUUUAAGAGUAGCUAUUGCUAUUUUCUCUUAUUGCUUUUGUAGGAAUUUGAUGAAAAAGACUCAGUUGAUGAAAAUCAGUGCAAGUAUGGUGAUGGCUUCAUUUAUAUGUUUCAGUAUUUUGACCAUAUCUCUCUAUACAAAACUCCAAAUGAGGUGAUUCUUAGAUCACUAGAAUUCUCAAAAGAAGGGAUAUAACGUUUAUGUUUACCAAUUUGCCAAGUUCUAAUCAGAUCGUGGUCAAGAUAUUUGUCUAACUCGAAGCACUGCAAUAGUAUGCAUGGACUGAAUAAUGAGGUAUUUGGAGUAUAUCUUUCAAUCCAAAAGUUCAAUUGAUGUGAUUCUUGAUCCAUUGCAAAGCUAAGAGAUAGGACUAAAACUUUUAUGUUUACCACUUUGUCCAAUUCAGAACAUAUUAGGGUGAAACUCAUGUUUUAAGCUGAUAGACUGCCAUUGCGCUGGGAGAACAAGGCUGCAGCUUUGAUGAAAGGAAGCACACAUACAAUUUUCCAGAGAGCUCAGCACUGCAGCGUUGGAGAAGUAGCACCGCAGCGUUGGGCAAUUUUUAAAAAAUAAAAAGAGUUAACGGGAUUUUGGAAAUUAAAUUUUUUGGAGCCUUUUUAAGAAACCUUUAUUAGAGAUUUUAAGGGGGAGGCAACAAGCAACUAUUCUAGAGAUUUAGAGCCAAGAACAAAGCAAGAAAAUAAGAGAAUUGGAGGGAGAAUCAAGAUCAUAAAGCUUCAAUUAUUAGUUUUCUCUUUCUACUUUUGUGUUUUUCUUAUUUUCUUUGACUUUGAUUAAUGGCUAAUUUUCUUUGGAUGAAGUUAGCUAAAUAUGUUUUUCUAGGAUUGCAAUUAAACUCACAUGUAAUCUAAACCUUUAAUCUCUUUUUUUCUUAUCUUUAAUGGGAUUUGAAUUGUUUAUUCCAAUUUGUUCUUAAUGCUUUUAAUUGACUGAUCAUCAAUUAAACUGAUUUAGGAACCUAAACAAACUUGAAAAAUGGAGUUUACUGUAGACUAAAAUUGGGAUAGCAUAUGGUCAUAUUAAUUAAUUUGCGUAUAGGAUAGGGAUAUACCUAUAGGCUUCAUGUAGCUAGAUUAGAGCUUGAACGUAAUGAGUCUAUUUUAACUUCAACUCACAUAGGGAUAUAGUAUUUUGGUUAAAAUAGAUAUUUUUAUAAGAUGAGUCGGGAGACCUUUACAAAUAAUUAAGGACUCUAGGUUAGCAAUUUAACCCAUUGAAAUAAGUUAAGAAAAAGAGUUAAGAUUUAGAUGAAGUGUGAGGAACAUUUAAUCCUAGGCUUAUUUGAUUUGCUGUUUACCCAAUUAUCUUGUUGCUUUAAUUUUUAAUUAAAUUAGUUUUAGUUGAGUAAUUUAGUUUAAUUAGAAUUCAGAUUUUAAUUAUUCGAAUAAAAUUAAAUAGUUCUAAUUUUAGUACUUAGUAAAAUUUUAGAUCAAUUCUCUUUGGAGUCGAUACUCUGCUUGUUUAUAUACUAUAUAUUCGAUACAUAUACUUGAUACUUUUCAAAACAUUUAACCACAUGUUUAUAAUUAAAGUAAGCUCUAAUUGUGAAAAAACUUUCUAUCUCAUCACUUUUUUACCAUAAUACUAUAAAAAUAUCAAUAUUUAUCAAUUGUGUUAGACAUCCAAAACUUAUACUUAUGUGUAUUUAUCAAAUGAUGAUCAUUGAAAUAUUUUUUAUCAUAACUAUUAGUAAGAUUUAUUCAAUUUAUAAAUAAAAAAUUUAAUUGCAUUGAAUGAUUUCAUUAAAAAAUAUUUUUUAAUUUUAAUAUUAAAAAAUUUAAAAAAUUUAAGUUAAAUAUUAAUAUAUUUUAAUUUUUUAAUAUUUUAAGUUAAAUAUUAAUAUUCAUCAAACCCAUAUUCGUAGACUUACUUAAGAGUUUUUUUUUUCCUUGUAAAAUGUCUUUUUGUAGUCAAUGAUUGUUUGUUUUAUUGACUCGUAAAAUGUUUUACAUUUAGAAUAAAAUUUUCGUCUUUCAAAUAAGUCUUGAAAACAUUUUAUAAGAAAUAUUUUAAGUGAAAACAAAUGAACUCUAAAUCUAAAAUAAAAAACUAAACCAUGAUAGUACAAAAAUCAUUGGAAGUCAAAAAGUUAACGAACCAACGACUAAGACUCCAUGAUAGUACAUCACCACUUAAAAAAUGGACGUACUUUCAUCAUCUUGUCAAAGCUAAAUUGAGAUUCAUGAAGUAGCGUGUUGGAAGGGUUAAAGUAAAUAACCCUUCUCAUAAGCUUAAUUCAAAGAUACCCCUUCAUAUAAUUUUAAUUAUUUUUACCCAAUUUUUGGCAUGACUUGACAACAAUUUCCUUUAAACAAUUUCAGACAAAUUAAAUGGUUUCUAUUUGCCAUCUAGGAAAAAAGUCCAAUAGUCAAUCCCCAUUUCUCUCUUUUACCGAAUACUGUCUAUUUAUCCAACUUUUGUCGCCAUUCCAAAGAGCAGAGAUGACAUCAAAGUAUGUGUUUUGAAUUUUGGAUUUAUUGGUUUAUAUUCAUAGAAUAGAACCCCAAAGUUGAGGGAUUGAAAUUGAUUAAACAUAUCUAUAAAUUAGAACAAUGUAUGACUUCAGUAACUUAAACCUGACUUCGAGCAAGUAAAUCAAUUAGUUAUUAAGCAUUGCAAGACUGGUUUUUAGGCAUUACGAGAGUGGUUUUUAAGCAUUUCAAGAUUUGCUUUAAGGCAUUAAGUGAAAGGUUUUAGGUAUUGCUUGACUAGUUUUUAGGUAAUGCGUGACCGAUUUUAUGCAUUGCAUGAUUAGGUUGUAGGCAUGGCGUGAUUGCUUUAAGGAAUUGCUUGGCAUAGGCAUUGUGAGAUUACCUUUUGAGCAUUGCAUGACUUAAUUAUUCAGUGUCUAGUUUUGAGUUAUUGCAUGACUGUUUGAUAAGGCUUUGCGUGACUGACUUUAAGGCAUUGUGUGACUGACUUUUAGGCAUUGCACAUCUAGUUUUGAGGCAUUGUGGGACUUAGGUAUUGCGUGACUAGUUUUUUAGGCAUUGUGUGACUCAUUUUUUGGCAUUACGUGGAUUUUAUUAGGCAUUGCGUAAUACGUUUUUGAUAAAUUGAUUGAUUGUGACACUUAUUUUCAUUAAAUUUUAGUGACCUACCAAUGUGAAGCAUAUGAUUACAUAUGGUGGUAAUUGGGUUGAUGACACUUACAAAAGUGGUGAGACAUGAGUGAGGGGUAUUAGGAGUGAUUUGUCGUUUUUAGGACUGAUGAAGUGAGUUUAAGAUGUUGUUGAGGUAAACUGAUGGAAUCAUGAAAUUAAGCUACAUGCAUUGCUAAGUUAUGUUGUAGGGGUUUCACACCCAGUAAUCAAGGACGAUGAAGAUGUAGCAACUAUUCUAGGAGAUGUGAGGGCAGUUGUAGUGUUUGUGACCGUUAAGGAACGACAUAAAAAUGUUAUGCCACAUGAACAAGCUAUCUAACAUAAUAAUGACCUAAAUUAGAUUUGUACUGCUUUGGACAUACCACACCAUGCAGUCCCUAACUAACAACAAUAGUAAUCACCAUCAACAUAUGAACAUGAGUAUGAGCAGCCUGAUAGACACAUGAGGUGUCUGCAAAUGCUAUUUGCACAAUUCUGAUCAGAAUGUGCAUCGAACCAAUUGCUUCGUUCUUGCCAACAAAUGCAAUCGUUGCUUAUGACUGCAGUGGGUCCAUUGUUAUUCUCAAAUGACAUUGUGACGGCUGUAAGUGAUGACGAUGCAUCUGAUGAGAUGCAUGAUGACUGUGUAGAGGAUGACACUUUUGAUUGGAAUGAUGACUAUUAUGUUGGCAAGCAUGAUAACUAUUUAGAAGAGUACAGGGGCUAAGACAAUGACAUUCUUGAUUGUAGUCACACAGAUGGCAGUACAAAACACACCACAACUAUUGUCUUAAAAGAUGUUGAGUGCAAUGACCUUAUUUACAACAACCCCAUCUCUAGUGAUAACAAGAUUCGUUCGCCCAAUGAUAGUGAUCAGGAAAGGGUAAAUGCAGGGGUAUCUCGUUAAUGAAUUAUUCCGAGUGCAGAUAUGAUCUCCAAAUAGUUGGCAUUGGGGAGUCUAGAUUAAGUGAUGAUUGCUUAUACCUAGAAAAAGUGUUUCCCUCAAAGGUUGAAUUGAAACGAGCUUUGAACAUAUUGCCACUAAAAGAGCAUUUCUAGCUUAGAGUUAAAAAGUCAUGUCAUGCUCGUUUUGAGGUUGCUUAUAAGGACAAGGCAUGUAAGUUCACUGUGCAUGCAACAAAGUUUCCUAAUGGAGAUUAUUGGCAAGUUCGCACAUUCCAUAAGUUACACAUAUGUACUGUUAAUGGUUUGUAAGGUGGGUACCAAACAACGAACAUGGGGUUAAUCGGUAAGCUAAUGUCCCCCAGCUUGCAAGGAAAUAAUGUAACACCAUUGAGACCUAAGGAAAUAAUAGAAGAGAUGAAUCACAAAUGGGGAUUGCAAUGCUUGUAUGGUAAGGCCUGACAAGGGAAAAAGUAUGCAAAGAGUCUUGUUUUUGGUCCCCCAUAGGAGUCAUUCCAACUUCUACCCUCAUAUUUCCAUAUGUUGGAAUGUGAAUAUCCUGGUACGGUCACAAUUACGGCUACUGAUCAGGCACAACCAUUCAAAUUGUUUUUGGGAUGCAAGGCAUGUAUCCGGGGGUUUAGGGUUGUAAUGUGGCCUGUAGUUGCUCCCGAUGCCACACAUCUAAAAGGCAAAUUCAAGGGUAUUCUGUUUGUUAUUGUUUGUAAAGAUGCGAAUGAGCAUAUAUUCGGUUGCAUUUAGCAUUGGGCACGUUGAGGAUAAAGAGUCGUGGUCUUGGUUUUUUACCCAAUUGCAUCGUGCGAUUAGUUAUUUUAAAAAUGCAAUGUUCAUUUUUUAUUAGCAUCUGGGCAUUAAGAAUGCAGUGGGUGUUGUCGAUAUUGCACGCGUAAGUAUAUGUAUCAAACAAGUACUAUAGACAGUAAGUCCAGAUUAUCGUUCCCACAAGGAUUUGUUUCUAAAGUUUCACUAAGUACUAAAUUAUAAAACAAAUUAAUCUUAUUUAAGAAAUCUAAAAAUUAAAGAAAAACUAAUUAAAAACAAUUAAAUAUCAACACUAAAUAAAAUAACAAACUAAAUAAGUUGAGAAAAGCAGUAUAUGAAAGACCUAGGAUUAUGGGUUCAUUCAGCAUUUCAUCUGAUACCAGCUUUUCUUAUUAUUUAUCUUUCCUUGGUAGUUUUACUAACCUAGAAUCCAAAGCUAUGGACAAGUCUUUGUUAAGUUGCUUGUACAAAUAUCUAACUUAAUUAGUUCACUAUAUGUCUAUAGGAAUCAAUUAAAUUAAGUUCAUUAAGCAGGUGUCCUAACGCGGCUAUGUAUGGCAAUUGGCGUAUGUCUACCCAAAUCGCGAAUAAGAUCACCUAAGUGACGUGAACAUACACUAUUCAAACCUUAGUCCAAUCUAAAAUCUCUUUGUCGAGUCUCAGUUAGAUUCACAAAUCAGUUAAUUGUUGACCAGACAAUCAAAAGCAUUAAGAACAGAUUUGAAUAAGCAAAAGUACACCCAUUCAUAAUAAAUAAAAAAGAAACAAAUAUUCAUAUUAUAUGUUGAAAUCUACCACAAUCCUAGAAUGGUAAUUUAGCUCAUAAUAUCUAAUAAAAACAAUAUCUAAAGAAAUUUAGCCAUGAAUUCAAGUCAAAGAAAAUAAGAAAAAUACAAAAGUAGAGAAAGAAACUAAUUCUUGAAGCUUUGCAAUUUCAAUUCUCUCUUAAAUUCUUUUGUUUUCUUGCUUUGUUCUUGACUCCAAAUCUCCAAAACAGCUGCUUGCUACCUCCUCCUUUAAACCUCUGAAAAAGGUCCCUUAAAUAGGCUCCAAGUAACCUAAUUUCCAAAAUCUUGUCAAAUUUUUAUUUUUGGAAACUCGGGGUAGUGCCAUGGCAAUGAUUUCUUGGUGCCAUGUUCUCAAGUUUUUGUAUGAUGCGCCCAUAUUGACCAGUGCCACGGCCACAAAUUUCUAGCGUUGCGGCAGUGGUUCCUUUAAUGCCACGACUUCAGUCACCCUGUUGCCUUGUGUAGAAUUGCAUCUAUCGAGCAUCGUCCAACGUAAUUUUCACCUUGAUAUGAUCCGAACUGGGAAAAUUGGUAAACAUAAAAGUUUUAUCCCUGUCUCUUAAGUUUCUAAUGGCUAGAGAAUCAAGUCAAUUGGACCUCUGGAGUGAAAGAUAUGCUCCAAAUACCACAUCAUGUUGAGUCCAUGCAUACUACUAUAGUGCUUGGACUUAGACAAUAUUUUGAUCACUAUUCGAUUAGAACUGGGCAAAUUGGUAAACAUAAACAUUGCAGCCCUUCUCUCAGCGUUAUAGUGGUCCAAGAAUCAAUUUAUUUGGAGUUUUGUAUAGAGAGAUAUGAUCAAAAUACCAAAAUAUAUACAAAUAAAGUCAUCACCAUACUUGCUCAGAUUUUCAUCAAAUGAGCCUUUUUUAUCAAAUUUCCUACAAAAUAAAUAAAAGAAACCAACAAUAACUACUCUUAAAGUAAUUUAAAACAAAACAUAAAAUUUCAUUAAAAUAACUUAAUUUAACUACUCAACAUGUAAUCAAACUUAAACUAAAAAAACAUGUAAAAUGUUACGAUCUGAACCUACAAUCUCAAAAGUCCAACUACUUAAGCCCACAAAAUGUAUCCAAAUAACUCUAUAUAAUAGAGUUAUCAAUGGGAAAAGUGUACCAUGAUGUGCGCCACGAUCUUUGCAAUUACCUCUUGGGAAAAAAUGUUAAAAACAGGUUCAAGCGUUAAGACGUUGCAGUGAUUUUCACCCUUACAUCCAACUGCUACAGCAAGGUCAAUUUCAAUAGACAUAUGAAUAAACUAAAUCAAAUUUUACAAUGAUGCUUAUGAUAACUCUAUUAUAAAGAGUUAUUGUAACACAUUUUGGGGGUUUAAGUAGCUAGAUCUUUGAGGUUUUAGGUCAGGAUUUUAGCAUUUUGGGUGUUUUUCUAGUUUAUGUUUGAUUACAUGUUGAGUAGUUAAUUUAAAUUAGUUUAGUUUAGUUUUAUUUUAUUUUGUUUUAAAUUACUUUAAGAGUAGUUAUUGCUAAUUUCUCUUAUCGCUUUUGUAGGAAAUUUGAUGAAAAAGGCUCAUUAGAUGAAAAUCUAUGCAAGUAUGGUGAUACGUUCAUUUGUAUAUGUUUUAGUAUUUUGACCAUAUAUCUCUAUACAGAACUCCAAAUGAGGUGAUUCUUAGAUCACUAGAAUUAUGAGAGGAAGGUAUAGAACUUUUAUGUUUACUACUUUGCCCAGCCCGAAUUGGAUUAUGGUCAAAAUAUUUUUCUAAUUUGGAGCAUUGUAGUAGUAUGCAUGGACUAAACAUGAUGUGGUAUUUGGAGCAUAUCCUUCACUCCAAAAGUCCAAUUGAUGUGAAUAUUGAUCCAUUGGAAAAUUAAGAGAUAGGGAUAAAACUUUCAUGUUUACCACUUUUUCCAGUUUGGAUCAUAUCAAGGUGAAAAUAGCAUUGGAACAUGCUCAACUGCUGUAGUUCUACAAUAGGCAACAGAUGGAGGAAGGACGCGGCCUUGAGUUACUCAAGGCUGUAGCACUGAGGAAUCGAAGGCCGCAAUGCUAAGGAGAACAAGGCUGCAGCACUGAUGAAAGGAAGCACACCAUACAUUUUUCUGAGGCUAAAGCGCAGCCACGCUACUGUGACAAAAAUUCAACGUCGCGACACAUGAUGAUUUUUCAAAAAUAAAAAUUUGACGAGAUUUUGGAAAUUAGGUUACUUGGAGCCUAUUUAAGGGACCUUUUUGAGGGGUUUUAAUGGGGAGGCAACAAGCAACUACUCUAAAGAAAAGGAGCUAAAAAAAAAGCAAGAACACAAAAGAAUUUGAGAGAGAAUUGAAAUUGCAAAGGUUCAACAUUGAGUUUCUUUCUUUAUUUUUGUGUUUCUCUUAUCUUCAUUGACAUGGAUUUAUGGUUAAAUUUCUUUAGAUAUUGUUUUUAUUAUAUAUUAUGAACUAAAUUAUUUUUCUAGAAUUGUGGUGGAUUUCAACAUGUAGUUUGAGUAUUUGUUUCUCUUUUAUUUACUAUGAAUAGGCAUAGUUUUUUCUUAUUCGAAUAUGCUCUUAAUGCUUUUGAUUGUCUGGUCAACAAUUAACUGAUUUGUAAUUCUAAUUAAGACUCGAUAGAGAGAUUUUAAAUUGGACUAAGGUUUGAAUAGUGUAUAUUUAUGUCACUUAGGUGAUCUGAUUCGCGAUUCGGGUAGACAUAUGCCAAUUGCCAUACAUAGCCAAAUUAGAACACUAGCUUAAUGAACUUUAUUUAAUUGAUUCCUAUAGACAUAUAGUGACUUAAUUAAGUUAGGUAUUUAUGCAACCAUCUUAAUGGAGACUUGUACAUAGCUUUGACUUUUAGGUUAGUAAAACCACCCAUGAAUGUAAAUAAUAAAAGAAUCUAGUAUAAGAUGAAGUGUCGUAUCAGAUGAAGUGUCGAAUGAAUCGAUGGUCUUAAGUUUUAGUCUAUUGCCUUCUUCAAGUAAUUUUAAUUUCUAUUAGUUAACUUAGUGCUUGUUUUAAUUUUAUUUUAAUUAAUAUUUUGAAAAAUUUAGUUACUUAAAUAAGAUUAAUUUGUCUUAAAUUUUAGUAAUUAGCAAAGAUUUAGGAACAAAUCUCCAUAGGAAUGAUACUUUGCUUCAUCACUAUAUUACUUGUUCGAUACGCAAACUUGCAUGUGCAAAAUCGACAAUAGUUUAUGAUAUGACCGUCUUAUGAAAUUACGCCCUGAGAGAUGGGCACGUGCACUGUCACCAAUAAGAUGCUACAAACUCAUAACAUCGAACAUUGUAGAGUGUAUUAACUUGUGUUUGAGGUAGGCAAGAAAAAUGCCGAUCACCGUCUUGAUCGAGUGCAUUAGAGGCAUGUUCCAGCGUUAGUUCCAUGAAUGAAACAAGGAAGGCCUCAAUUUAAUCAUGCCCCUUAGCCCUUGGGCUACUAAUCUGUUUAACACACGGUUCAAUGAAGCAUGUCACUUUUUUACACAAGUAAUCAAUCGAGUGGAGUUCCAAAUUAUUGACAGGAGUAAAGACAAAGUAGUCAACUAGUCCACCAAGACGUAUUCAUGUGGGGAGUUCCAAACUGAUAUACUCCCCUACAACCAUGCCAUGGUAGCAAUAAGGUAUGAAUAUCCAUGUUUCUUCUUUGCUUUGUAAGGAAUUGAACUUUUACAUGGUUCCUCAACUGUGAGUUCAUUGCCUUUGUAAUAAUUAUAAAAAUACAGCCAUUGAAUUCUACUCAGACUAUUACAAGACUUGGUCUUAGGUGGAGGGUUAUGUUGUUCUUAUUCACCCGGUUAGGCAUCCUAGUGAUUGGGACAUGCCCCUUGAUGUGAAACAAAUUGUCAUUUUGCCACCACCUUGGCGAGGUUAAGUGGGAAGACCUAAGAGGAAAAGGAUUCCAUCGAUUGGGGAAAGUAGUCGAUGAUGGAGAUGUUCACAAUGCAAGAGCUAUGAUUGUAAUAGACAAAAUUGACCCAAUGUCAUUUAUAGUUCCAUUGACAAAGCUGGGACUAUCUUCUAGUUAGUUGGCACUUCAACGACGAUAAUGAUCGAAAGCAUGUUCAACUUGUAGACAACUUGAGCACACAUGAAACCACUAUCCAAUGCGAAUGACAAACUCUAAGAAUGUAUGAGGUAUCAUAGACAAAAACAGUGACUCCAGAAAAUGAAGUGUUGGCAUGGUCUUGGUUGUAGUUGAGAGAUGUGUGAAAGAGGAAAUUUGGACGUUAAGUGCUGCUAUCUAUUGAUAUAUUCAAUUCAGGACUUAUUUUUUAAAUCCUCGAUGGCUAUCUAUUGAUAGAUUCCAUGUAUCUAUCAAUAGACGUGUGUCAAGGUCAAGUAACAUGGUUCCCGAUUGUUUAUCUAUCGAUGGAUCUUGAUAUCUAUCGAUAGAUGCAUGGCACAGUCCAGUAACAUGGUUACCCUAUUGGCUAUCUAUUAAUAGAUGCGGUUUAUCUAUUGAUAGAUGUAUGCCACGAUCUUAUAACAUGGUUCCCAAUUGGUUAUCUAUUGAUAGAUUCUGUAGAUCUAUCGACAGAUGUAUGCCAUGGUCACGUAACAUGGUUCCCGGUUGGCUAUUUAUUGAUAGAUCUUGGUAUUUAUUGAGUUUUCGGGCCUCUUUGCUUAAGUCACGCAAUGCCUAAGUUGAAAUACCCCAUACUUUGAUAUGGUGAUAAAUAAAGUUGAUCGAAUGCAGAUUGAGGUCAAUUAAAAUGUUUAGAAGUGAUAAAAGACGAAAGGAGUAGUUUAGGAUAAAAUAUUUCGCAAGUGAGAAAAUAAAAAUAAUUUUAUCGGAGGAGAAUUUGUGAGAUAAAAGGCGAUUUGGAAGUCAAGUGAGGCAUAAUAAGGUAUUUUGGGUACCAAAGAGACAAGAUAAAAUUUUUAGAAUAAAAUAAUAUUUUAUUAAUAAAAUAAUAUUAAAAUAUUAAUAUUUAGUCGGAUAUCGAAAUCAGUCAUGAAGAAGGAUCAUAUGGUUGAUCCAAGUGGGGGAAAAGAUGACAAGCCCGACUCUAUAAAAAUAUUUGUCAUGACAUACAUGUGAUGGAUAGCAUGUUUGCAUGCUAAGAGAGUCUCGAAAAACUUACAAAAAUCGGUAUUGUACCUAGACGUACAACAAAGUUGAUUUAAGCCUCGAACUAGAUCAAAUAGAGAAUUCACGAUGAAAUUAAGAAUUUUACAGUCCCAGAAUGGUUUAAUAUGGUGAUUUGGAGUUCGAGGAUCAAUUUGGUGUCAAAUCGAAAUUUUCGCUAUCUAGGGGCAAAAUGGUCAUUUGCCACUUGGGGACAAAAUGAAAAUUUUUGAAAAGAUUUUUUUGGCCCCAUUUGACUUAUUGGAGUAUAAUUUGACUUAUUGGACUAAGAUUUAAGGUUUAGAAGUGAAAAAUUUUAAUUUCGAUAUAAUUUGGAGUAAAAGGGUAAAAUGGUAAUUUUGCCACCCGAGGGGUAAAAUUGUAAUUUUUCACCACCAGGACAUUUUCCAGCAUAUGGUCUUCCUUUAUUCUCAUUUUGACCAUUGACUAAUUGUGUGGUGGAGAUAAAAAGGAUUAAAAUUUUUAAAGUUUUAAAAACGGGCCAAUGACAUGAUGUCACGUGUCAUGCCUUUAUUAAUUUAUUAUUUUCCUUUUUAAAAGGCACAAAAAUCAGAUCAUCUUCCACCCCAUGGCCGGCCAAACCAGCAAGAAGAGAGAGAAAAUAAAAACAAAACCCUAGAGAGAAAAAAAUCAAAGAAAAAGUGUGAAUUUUCAAGGAAAUUAAGUGAAAAAGGUGAGAUUUUUCUAUUAAGCUUGAGUUUUCUUAUUCCCAAGCAUUUUUCUUUAUUUUCCAUGAUUAAAUUACAUGUUUUCAUGAUGAAUUCAAUUCUGAAAAAAUGGGUUAGGAGAGAGAAAGUUGUUGGAUUUAUUUGAUUUUAAUUUAUGUUAGUGUUUUUAGUUAGUUUAGCAUAUUUAGAAACAAAACAACAAGAAAAGAAUUUAUUUUCUCCCCCAACCAUUAAUGGCUGAAUUUACCAUGUAGUGAGUGAGGAUGAGUUUGAUUUUAUUCUAGGAGAAUUGGUUAAGGAAUAAUGAAUUAUGAGCCUAGAAAAAUAAUGNNNNNNNNNNNNNNNNNNNNNNNNNNNNNNNNNNNNNNNNNNNNNNNNNNNNNNNNNNNNNNNNNNNNNNNNNNNNNNNNNNNNNNNNNNNNNNNNNNNNNNNNNNNNNNNNNNNNNNNNNNNNNNNNNNNNNNNNNNNNNNNNNNNNNNNNNNNNNNNNNNNNNNNNNNNNNNNNNNNNNNNNNNNNNNNNNNNNNNNNNNNNNNNNNNNNNNNNNNNNNNNNNNNNNNNNNNNNNNNNNNNNNNNNNNNNNNNNNNNNNNNNNNNNNNNNNNNNNNNNNNNNNNNNNNNNNNNNNNNNNNNNNNNNNNNNNNNNNNNNNNNNNNNNNNNNNNNNNNNNNNNNNNNNNNNNNNNNNNNNNNNNNNNNNNNNNNNNNNNNNNNNNNNNNNNNNNNNNNNNNNNNNNNNNNNNNNNNNNNNNNNNNNNNNNNNNNNNNNNNNNNNNNNNNNNNNNNNNNNNNNNNNNNNNNNNNNNNNNNNNNNNNNNNNNNNNNNNNNNNNNNNNNNNNNNNNNNNNNNNNNNNNNNNNNNNNNNNNNNNNNNNNNNNNNNNNNNNNNNNNNNNNNNNNNNNNNNNNNNNNNNNNNNNNNNNNNNNNNNNNNNNNNNNNNNNNNNNNNNNNNNNNNNNNNNNNNNNNNNNNNNNNNNNNNNNNNNNNNNNNNNNNNNNNNNNNNNNNNNNNNNNNNNNNNNNNNNNNNNNNNNNNNNNNNNNNNNNNNNNNNNNNNNNNNNNNNNNNNNNNNNNNNNNNNNNNNNNNNNNNNNNNNNNNNNNNNNNNNNNNNNNNNNNNNNNNNNNNNNNNNNNNNNNNNNNNNNNNNNNNNNNNNNNNNNNNNNNNNNNNNNNNNNNNNNNNNNNNNNNNNNNNNNNNNNNNNNNNNNNNNNNNNNNNNNNNNNNNNNNNNNNNNNNNNNNNNNNNNNNNNNNNNNNNNNNNNNNNNNNNNNNNNNNNNNNNNNNNNNNNNNNNNNNNNNNNNNNNNNNNNNNNNNNNNNNNNNNNNNNNNNNNNNNNNNNNNNNNNNNNNNNNNNNNNNNNNNNNNNNNNNNNNNNNNNNNNNNUUUAGAUGGUAUCUGUUUACUCACUGGGAUUUUAUAAUCUCACCACCCUCAUUUCCUCACAUUUCAGGCUCAGGGAAUUUCGUAGUUAGCUGACUUGAACAAGGACCUUCAUUUGGACUCGAAUCGGUAAAAGCUGUAGGUUUUCAGCUUCCGAUGCAUUUUGGAUAGAUAUGGGCCCACGUGUCACUGUAAAAGAAAUUUUAUGCUUUGGUUAUUUGCUUUAUAGUAUAUAUGAAUAUAAUUAUCUUUUACGCUAUAAGAAUUAUGUACCGAUAGUUUUAUGAAAAUUAUUUUACAAGAAAAUAAUUUAUUUUAUUGAAUAUUUUU